GUGCCAGCCGCGGCGGUAAUACGGAGGGUGCAAGCGUUAAUCGGAAUUACUGGGCGUAAAGCGCACGCAGGCGGUUGAUUAAGCCAGAUGUGAAAUCCCCGGGCUCAACCCGGGAACUGCAUCUGAUACUGGUCAGCUGGAGUCUCGUAGAGGGAGGUAGAAUUCCAGGUGUAGCGGUGAAAUGCGUAGAGAUCUGGAGGAAUACCGGUGGCGAAGGCGGCCCCCUGGACGAAGACUGACGCUCAGGUGCGAAAGCGUGGGGAGCAAACAGGAUUAGAUACCCUGGUAGUCCACGCCGUAACGAUGUCUAUUUGAGUUGUGCCUUGAGUGUGGCUUCCGGAGCUAACGCGUUAAAUAGACCGCC
Molecule: ribosomal RNA, 364 nt
Filed under: uncultured Kluyvera sp.
Lineage: Bacteria; Pseudomonadati; Pseudomonadota; Gammaproteobacteria; Enterobacterales; Enterobacteriaceae
Description: bacterial SSU rRNA
Rfam family: Bacterial small subunit ribosomal RNA
Source: RNAcentral